UGAGUCUGAGCAGAAGCUUUUAAUGAGUGAAAAAGAAACAGUAAUACAGCAGAUAGAGAAACAAAUGUUUGAUUGACAGCUUAAAAUAUACACUUCAUAAGGACAGCGUAAAGAGGACACAUGACGAGUAGUUUAAGAUCGCAAUGUUCAUCUUUAUAAGUUAUAUAAUAAUAAAAAUAAUAUAUUUAUAUAUAAAUAAUAUAGUUUCAUAUUAUAAAAUAUCAGUAGCUAUAGAUAGUAAGUCAUCUAUAUUCAUCUUUAUAUUACUAUAUGUUAUAUAUACUAUGUGCUGUAAUGCUAUAGGACACUGAAAGUGCACGCCCUGGUGCUGCAUUAUGAGUCUCUGAGCUUCCACAGCUGGUUUACACGGGGGGGGUUGUAUUAAUGUAUUAAUGCUUUUUGGCUCCUCAAAGUGCACUCGCUGGUGCAGCAAAGAGUCUGAGAGCUUCCACAGCCCAGAGAACUUUUCACCUGUGCACCAAUCCCUCACAGCUAACCGGCAAGUGGAAUAAAAUCAACAACGGGAUCGAGGCCGUAGCCAGAUACAGUUACAGUGACACUAAUCAGUGAGCUGGGGUUCAGCUUUGGCAAGUAUAAUGCAAAACAGGAGGGUUCGAAUCCACUAAACAGCUACCCUGAGGUACCCCUGAGCAAGGUACCGUCCCUACACGCUGCUCCCCGGGCGCCCAGUGGCUGCCCACUGCUUCAGAGACGAAUUAUUAUUAUUAUUAUUAUUAUUAUUAUUAUUAUUAUUAUCAUCAUUAAGUAAUGCUUAAAAUAAAAGGUCACACAUGACUUAGAGUUUAGCACCUCAAGUCUCCAGCAUCCAGUCACAUAAGUGUCAUUCUGUCACUCAUUACCACCACUGUGCUGUCAUUAACUGUGCCAAAGUACGAACAAAGAGAAACUGAAGAUGAGUCCAGAGGAAGUGUCCACACUCCCACUGCAUCUACACUUACUGUGUAGAUGCAGUGGGAAACUACAGAAAGCAUCCACUCACAGGUGGAGAUUAACCUUUUCAUGCACACUCUACUUCAAAGUGAAAAAAGGGGAAAGAUCAUCGUUUCAGAUCUGUUCUUUCUACACAAUUUCUGGCUUUGCUGCUUCUUUCUUCCCGACGAUGUAAAGUCCUCUGGUUUGCCCACAGCGGCAUCUCCUG
Long non-coding RNA from Astatotilapia calliptera (eastern happy), 1159 nucleotides. The record is from Ensembl. Lineage: Eukaryota; Metazoa; Chordata; Actinopteri; Cichliformes; Cichlidae.